Molecule: ribosomal RNA, 883 nt
Filed under: Collema subnigrescens
Lineage: Eukaryota; Fungi; Ascomycota; Lecanoromycetes; Peltigerales; Collemataceae
Description: SSU rRNA
Rfam family: Bacterial small subunit ribosomal RNA
Source: RNAcentral
GAUGUAUAUAUAUAUCUCGUGUAGUAGUAGUUAAGGUAAUUGCUUAACUAGCUUAAUGCACGUAGUCGUAACUGAAAGGUUGAUCGAUCACAGUGUGGCCUGAAUAAAGCCCACGACUUCAGCAGUGAGGAAUAUUGGUCAAUAGCCUAACGGCUGAACCAGCAACUUGGAGGAAUGUUUUAGGUAAAACUAAAUGUAUAUUUUAAAAUACAUAUACGAUAUAUUCGUAUAAAAUUCUAGGUAGAAUAAUGAUAAUGACAUUGUCUAUCUAUAAGUCUUGACCAACAUGCGUGCCAGCAGUCGCGGCAAGACGCUAAAGACUAGUGUUAUUCAUCUUUAAUAGGUUUAAAGCGUAACUAGACGGUAAAUCAAGCCUUAACCGGGACUAAUUUAACUAGAGUUAGAUGUAAGGGUGCAUUAACGUACUGUUGAGUGUAGAGAUGAAAUUCUUUGAUACCAGAUGAUUGGCACGGGUUAAGGCGAAAGCAUCACCUUAUGUAAUAACUGACGUUGAGGGACGAAGGCUUUGUGUCGCGAACAGGAUUAGAUACCCUAGUAGUCUAAGCAGAAAAUGAUGAGUGUCAUAGGCUAGAUAUUGUUUAGUCUAUAAAUGAAAGUGUAAGCAUUCCACCUCAAGAGUAAUUUGGCAACAUUGGAACUGAAAUCAUUAGACCGUUUCUGAAACCAGUAGUGGAGUAUGUUGUUUAAUUAGAUAAUACACAAAGAACCUUACCACAAUUUGAAUAUUUUACAAGCGUUGCACGGCUGUUUUCAGUUAAUGUCGUGAGAUUUUGGUUAGUUCCAUUAAAUUAACGUAAUCCCUUACUUUAUUUUAUUUUAAUAAAAAUUAAUAAUUAUAUAAAGUAGUUCGCUAAGAUAUUGG